Molecule: ribosomal RNA, 365 nt
Filed under: Plagiotremus rhinorhynchos (bluestriped fangblenny)
Lineage: Eukaryota; Metazoa; Chordata; Actinopteri; Blenniiformes; Blenniidae
Description: partial 12S ribosomal RNA
Rfam family: Bacterial small subunit ribosomal RNA
Source: RNAcentral
CCCCUUCUUGCCUUUCCCGUCUAUAUACCGCCGUCGUCAGCUCACCCUGUGAAGGCAUCACAGUAAGCAUAAUUAGAAUAUCUUAAAACGUCAGGUCGAGGUGUAGCAUAUGAAGGGGGAAGAAAUGGGCUACAUUUCCUGCCUCCAGGACACACGGAUUGUAUGUUGAAACACACACUAUGAAGGCGGAUUUAGAAGUAAACAGAAAUUAGAGAGUUCUGUUGAAGCCGGCCCUUAAGCGCGUACACACCGCCCGUCACUCCCCUCUAACUAAUAUUAACACCUUUAACUAAGACACUAUCUAAAAACAGAGGAGACAAGUCGUAACAUGGUAAGUGUACCGGAAGGUGCACUUGGAAAAACAU